This is a long non-coding RNA of Maniola jurtina (meadow brown), 242 nucleotides long. RefSeq lists it as uncharacterized. Lineage: Eukaryota; Metazoa; Arthropoda; Insecta; Lepidoptera; Nymphalidae. The transcript is spliced from 4 exons. The record is from RefSeq and is a predicted model, not a curated record.
UAUAGAGCACACUCUGACUUUGCAUAGACUUAAAUUUCAGUUAAAACGAGACAGAUUUAUGCCAUCGGUAUAACGCUGUCUCGUUUUAACAGUGUUUUAAGUCUGAGCGAAGUCAAAGGGCGCUCUAUAGAUCACAACCUAAGUAGAGUUAAAAAGUUUCAUAGUCCCUGUGUUGGGGAAAAUACGCUGAGAGAUUUUCAGCUUUUAUAAAAUAUCGUAAGUCACUAAUCACAAUGUAAAGA